RNAcentral lists this ribosomal RNA (482 nucleotides) under uncultured bacterium. Its description in RNAcentral is "partial 16S ribosomal RNA". It matches the Rfam family "Bacterial small subunit ribosomal RNA", at positions 30 to 507 of the family's 1533-position model. The record is from RNAcentral.
AUUGAACGCUGGCGGCAUGCCUUACACAUGCAAGUCGAACGGUAACAGGUCUUCGGAUGCUGACGAGUGGCGAACGGGUGAGUAAUACAUCGGAACGUGCCCAGACGUGGGGGAUAACGAGGCGAAAGCUUUGCUAAUACCGCAUACGAUCUAAGGGUGAAAGCAGGGGACCGCAAGGCCUUGUGCGUUUGGAGCUGCCGAUGGCAGAUUAGGUAGUUGGUGGGAUAAAAGCUUACCAAGCCGACGAUCUGUAGCUGGUCUGAGAGGACGACCAGCCACACUGGGACUGAGACACGGCCCAGACUCCUACGGGAGGCAGCAGUGGGGAAUUUUGGACAAUGGGCGAAAGCCUGAUCCAGCAAUGCCGCGUGCAGGAUGAAGGCCUUCGGGUUGUAAACUGCUUUUGUACGGAACGAAAAGGAUCUGGCUAAUACCUGGGGCACAUGACGGUACCGUAAGAAUAAGCACCGGCUAACUACGUG